Long non-coding RNA from Patella vulgata (common limpet), 254 nucleotides. RefSeq lists it as uncharacterized. NCBI's taxonomy places the organism in Eukaryota, Metazoa, Mollusca, Gastropoda, Patellidae. The transcript is spliced from 3 exons. The record is from RefSeq and is a predicted model, not a curated record.
UUCAGACCGUAUAUAUUGUAAUAUUAUUUAUUGCUGGUGUGGUUGUUGUUGUGAUUGGUAUAAUUAUAUUUGUGUGUGUCAGACGUGUUAUUGCUCGCAAUGAGAUGAAAAGAGGUCCACAUAAAUUAAUACUACAGCCUUCAGAUCUGACCUUUUUACUGAGGAAGGAUAUGGGUAAAGGAUCACGGGUUAUGAAGAGUUCUUUACUGGAUAAACCGGACCUAGUUAAAGCGUCUGAACCAACCAAGUCUACC